RNAcentral lists this ribosomal RNA (108 nucleotides) under Phycisphaerae bacterium. The record is from RNAcentral. Lineage: Bacteria; Pseudomonadati; Planctomycetota; Phycisphaerae.
GGCGGUGUGUUUAUGUCAGGGGCCACACCUGUUCCCAUUCCGAACACAGUAGUUAAGCCCUGACAGCCGAUGGUACUGCGAUUGCGGGAGAGUAGGUCAACGCCGUCU